CGGAAUCUUCUCUCUUAGAGUCGCUUAGGUCUAAUUUGCGCCUGGAUAUUCAGCAUGAACUCCUAUAUGAGGAAAUACUCAGCAUAUCAAAACUUCGGCAUUUUGUCAGAACUCGAGAGAUCUUCCUACAAACGGUAGGAAAUCACGCUUUACCAAAAUCUCGUCCAGUGCCGAUGCCGCGCCGAUCUGUCAAUGCAGUUCAAUGUCAGGUAGAGUGUGAAACAGAAACCGAGGUAUCGGAUGACGAAGAAAUGGGAAUAGCCGCCCUUAAUUUAGUGUGCUGGAAUUGUGAAGCAACUGGUCACCGCUACCAGGAUUGCGAUAGCCCGGUUCGUCGCGUAUUUUGCUACGGCUGUGGAAAGGCGGAUACAUACAAGCCGUCCUGUAAAAAAUGUAAUAGUUCAAAAAACUGGGUAGCCCGUGCACAGCCGAAAAGUGCACGCAAACAGAUGAGCUCGAAAGCAACCAAUACCGACUAGAUGUUGUUAGUGACACAUCAACCACUUCUCCACUUAUAAUUUCCUUUUUACCAGACGUUCAAAAUCAGGAUUAUAUCUCCCCAGAAUUCGACCAACCAAUCCACAAGGAUGAAAACUCAAACAAUGUGUCGCGCUCCGUUGCCCGGCGCACUGCAUUUCAUAAAAUGUGCAGACAGGAACGAAAGAUAUUGUCUUCAACAGUAGUAGCCAACUCCCAGGACAUUAGACCUUAUGCCGAUGUUUUUAUUUUAGGCAAAACUGUUAACGGCUUGCUUGACACAGGCGCAUCGAUAAGCUGUAUCGGAGGUCGUUUUGCUCAAGAAUUCAUUGAAUCAAAACACCUAUACAAAGCUUUAGGGUCGAAUGUUCGCACUGCCGAUGGCAAAGCGCAGGAAAUAAUCGGAAAAAUAACCACCGAACUCAAAUUUCGUGGGAAAUCACAUCGGUUGACCUUAUACCUUGUUCCCUCCUUGUCACAAGACCUAUAUUUGGGAAUUGAUUUCUGGAAAACCUUCGACUUGCUGCCUUCAUGUUUUGUAUCAGAGCGCCUUUCUGCCUUAGAUGUCACUCCCUUGAGGACAUUAUAUACUGAACAACAUGACUUAUUGUUAGAAGCAAUCAACUGGUUUCCAUCUUUUUCUAAACUUGGUUUAGGGCGAACUUCAGCUUUUUCUUACGUAAUAGAAGUGGCAGAUGCUAUACCUGUAAAGCAGAGGCAUUAUCCAGUCUCCCCAGCCGUGGAAAAACUUAUGUACGAGGAGCUGGAUAGAAUGCUCAAUCUAGGCGUGAUUGAGGAAUCUGUGAGUGCUUGGUCUUCUCCGGUCGUUCUCGUCCGGAAGCCAGGCAAGGUGCGUCUAUGUUUGGACAGCAGGCGAGUAAACGCUGUCACAGUCAAAGAUGCAUACCCCAUGCCGUUUAUAGAGGGCAUUCUCAGCAGACUUCCGAAGGCUGAAUACAUUACAAGUCUCGACCUCAAAGAUGCUUUUUGGCAAAUUCCUCUAUCUAUAUCGUCACGUGACAAAACCGCCUUUAGUGUUCCUGGCAGGCCUCUAUACCAAUAUACCGUUAUGCCAUUUGGUCUUUGCAACGCCCCACAGACAAUGUCAAAGUUGAUGGAUCGAAUUAUUCCUGCUCACCUACGCAGAGAAGUGUUCAUCUAUUUGGAUGAUCUCUUGAUAGUGUCAGAUUCGUUCGAGAGGCAUUUGGCUGUACUGAAAGAUGUUGCGGGACAAUUAAAACAAGCAGGCUUGACCAUCAACAUCGAGAAAAGCCAUUUCUGCCUAAAAGAGGUCAAAUAUUUGGGCCAUGUUGUCGGAAACGGUACUAUCAGUACAGAUCCCGAUAAGAUUGCCGCGAUUACAGAUUUUCCUAUCCCUCGUUCUGUGAAACAGGUUAGACGGUUUCUGGGAAUGACGGGGUGGUACCACAAAUUUAUUUGCAAUUAUGCAUCCAUUGCGUCACCCAUAACCGAUACAUUAAAAUCGCAUCGCAAAUUUUGUUGGAAUGAAGAUGCGCAGAAAGCGUUUGAAUCGUUGAAGUUGAAGCUCAGUUCAGCACCAGUCCUUCAUAGCCCAAAUAUCGAAAAACCUUUUGCGAUUCAUUGUGAUGCAAGCCAUACUGGUGUGGGUGCCGUGUUGGUCCAGGUUAACCAGGAUGGCGAUGAAGUACCCAUAGCAUUUAUGUCUCGCAAGCUUAACCAAUGCCAGAGAAACUACUCUGUCACAGAAAAAGAAUGUUUGGCAGCUAUUCUAGGCGUUAAGAAGUUUAGAGCUUACGUCGAGGGUCAAGAAUUCUCUAUAAUUACGGACCAUGCUUCCCUAAAAUGGCUGAUGUCACAGUCAGACCUAAGCUCGCGGUUAGCUCGUUGGGCAUUAAAACUGCAAGGUUUUGAGUUUAAGAUAACACACCGUAAGGGUACCCAAAACGUUGUGCCGGACGCACUGUCCCGUACUCAUAAUGAUGAUUUAUCCGAAAUAAGUCUUGGCACGAUUGUGGAUCUGGAUUCGGAAUACUUCCGUUCAGUCGAGUAUAAGAAUCUGGCCGAUAAGAUAGAAGCGAACCAGUCCCACACGCCCGACAUUAAGGUAGUUGAUGGAUACAUUUACAGGCGAGCUGAGCAUACCACAGGAGACAAGAUUGCAGACGAUUUAUGUUGGAAAUUAUGGAUUCCAAAGGACAUGGUUCCGGAAAUUCUCAAAUCCGCUCAUGAAUCUCCCUUGUCUUCCCACGCUGGCAUUUGUAAAACCCUUGAUCAACUGCGUCGAUAUUUUUUCUGGCCAAACUUAGUAACUGACGUGAAAAAUUACAUCAAUAGCUGCGAUAUGUGUAAAUGCACGAAGUAUCCUAACUAUACCUUACGUCCGCCCCUAGGCAAAACGGCUGAAACGCAACGCGUUUUCCAAAAGCUAUUUGUUGAUUUUCUAGGACCUUACCCUAGGAGUCGCUCAGGGAAUAUUGGUAUAUUUGUGGUGCUAGACCAUUUCUCUAAAUUCCCUUUCUUGAAAACAGUAAAAAAAUUCACAGCUGAAUCUGUCAUUCGUUUCCUCGAAGAAGAUAUCUUCCACUGCUUCGGUGUUCCGGAGGUUGUUGUUUCCGAUAAUGGCGUCCAGUUUAAGUCCAAUAGCUUCAAUGCACUUCUGGAAAAAUACAAAAUUAAGCAUUGCUAUACAGCCAUCUAUGCUCCUCAAGGCAAUGCGUCUGAAAGGGUAAAUAGAUCGGUAAUUGCCGCCAUAAAAUCCUACAUAAAACCGGAUCAGAAGAACUGGGAUGAACAGCUAAGUCAUAUAUGCUGUUCGUUGCGUUCAAGCGUUCACUCAGGUGUAAGUUCCAGCCCUUAUCGUAUGGCAUUUGGUCAACAUAUGGUUACGAGUGGAUCUCAGUACGACCUCUUGCGCAGAUUAGAACUUUUGGAAGAUAGAACUGUGCAGUUUAACAGGGAGGAUUCCUUCGACUUGAUUCGCUCAAAGGCAAAACAGUCCAUGCUGCGACAACGCAUUCGAAAUGAGCGGAAUUAUAACAAACGAAGCCGAGAAGUUUCUUUUGCAGUUGGUCAGGAAUUAUUCCGUCGUAACUUUCAACAAAGUAAUUUUGCAAAAGGCUUCAACGCCAAACUGGCUCCAAGUUUCAUCAAGGCAAGAGUGAGAGCUAGAUUGGGUAAUAGCUAAUACGAAAUUGAGGAUUUGCAAGGUCGUUUAGUUGGAAAAUAUCACGCAAAAGAUUUGAGGCAAUAAUGAUUAAAGUAAUUCCAGCGCGGAUCACUCUUUCCAUGCAGUCACCAUGAAAAGUGUGAUUUAGCAGGGGGGUGUUGUAGUGGCGCUGGGAGUUGCAGCUGAACACAAAAUAAUUACAAGCAGCGAAUGAUAUUAUCGCAUGCGAUAAAGUUAGAUAAAUUAUGCUGACAGAAUCAAAGCUUAGCUCAGCAAAGCUUAGCUGUUAAAUCAGCUGAUUGGGUGAAGCUUUCGUUGAUGACAGCUGUCAACAUAAGCUUUNGAAGCCGAGAAGUUUCUUUUGCAGUUGGUCAGGAAUUAUUCCGUCGUAACUUUCAACAAAGUAAUUUUGCAAAAGGCUUCAACGCCAAACUGGCUCCAAGUUUCAUCAAGGCAAGAGUGAGAGCUAGAUUGGGUAAUAGCUACUACGAAAUUGAGGAUUUGCAAGGUCGUUUAGUUGGAAAAUAUCACGCAAAAGAUUUGAGGCAAUAAUGAUUAAAGUAAUUCCAGCGCGGAUCACUCUUUCCAUGCCUUCACCCUGUAAAGUGUGAUUUUAGCAGGGGGGUGUUGUAGUGGCGCUGGGAGUUGCAGCUGAACACAAAAUAAUUACAAGCAGCAAAUGAUAUUAUCGCAUGCGAUAAAGUUAGAUAAAUUAUGCUGACAGAAUCAAAGCUUAGCUCAGCAAAGCUUAGCUGUUAAAUCAGCUGAUUGGGUGAAGCUUUCGUUGAUGACAGCUGUCAACAUAAGCUUUUAGAACAC
RNAcentral lists this long non-coding RNA (4444 nucleotides) under Drosophila guanche. The record is from RNAcentral. Lineage: Eukaryota; Metazoa; Arthropoda; Insecta; Diptera; Drosophilidae.